This 505-nucleotide ribosomal RNA is filed under the name uncultured Glomeromycotina. Its description in RNAcentral is "partial small subunit ribosomal RNA". It matches the Rfam family "Eukaryotic small subunit ribosomal RNA", at positions 591 to 1091 of the family's 1831-position model. The record is from RNAcentral. Lineage: Eukaryota; Fungi; Glomeromycota.
CCAAUAGCGUAUAUUAAAGUUGUUGCAGUUAAAAAGCUCGUAGUUGAAUUUCGGGAUUGACACAUCGGUCGUGCCUUAAGGGGCAUGAACUGGUGUAGUCAAUUUCUCACCUUCUGGAGAACCGCGAUGCCCUUAAUUGGGUGUCGCGGGGAACCAGGACCUUUACUUUGAAAAAAUUAGAGUGUUUAAAGCAGGCAUUUUGCUUGAAUACAUUAGCAUGGAAUAAUAAAAUAGGACGGCAUGAUUCUAUUUUGUUGGUUUCUAGGAUCACCGUAAUGAUUAAUAGGGAUAGUUGGGGGCAUUAGUAUUCAAUUGUCAGAGGUGAAAUUCUUGGAUUUAUUGAAGACUAACUACUGCGAAAGCAUUUGCCAAGGAUGUUUUCAUUAAUCAAGAACGAAAGUUAGGGGAUCGAAGACGAUCAGAUACCGUCGUAGUCUUAACCAUAAACUAUGCCGACUAGGAAUCAGACGAUGUUAAUUUUUUAAUGACUCGUUUGGCACCUUAC